GUGAAUUAAAUGAUGGUGUAUCGGACCUUCGGCAAGGCCCUAGCAUCAAAUCAUAUCCAUAACACCUGUGAACUGUAAGGACUGUCUUGAUACGAAGGUAUUAGGCAAGUCAUCGUCUGCCCAUUUUAUACAAACAAUUAAUGUAACAAACGUAGUCUUAUUAUAAUCUAAUA
RNAcentral lists this unclassified non-coding RNA (173 nucleotides) under soil metagenome. Its description in RNAcentral is "partial internal transcribed spacer 1". The record is from RNAcentral.